CCUACGGGUGGCAGCAGUGAGGAAUAUUGGUCAAUGGACGAGAGUCUGAACCAGCCAAGUAGCGUGAAGGAUGACUGCCCUAUGGGUUGUAAACUUCUUUUAUAAAGGAAUAAAACGAGGCACGUGUGCCUUUUUGCAUGUACUUUAUGAAUAAGGAUCGGAUAACUUCGUUCCAGCAGCCGCGGUAAUACGGAGGAUCCGAGCGUUAUCCGGAUUUAUUUGGUUUAAAGGGAGCGUAGAUGGGUUGUUAAGUCAGUUGUGAAAGUUGGCGGCUCAACCGGAAAAUUGCAAUUGAUACUGGCAGUCUUGAGUACAGUAGAGGUAGGCGGAAUUCGUGGUGUAGCGGUGAAAUGCUUAGAGAUCACGAAGAACCCCGAUUGCGAAGGCAGCUUACUAAACUGAGACUGACACUGAUGCUCGAAAGUGUGGGGAUCAAACAGGAUUAGAUACCCUUGUAGUC
Molecule: ribosomal RNA, 460 nt
Filed under: uncultured bacterium
Lineage: Bacteria
Description: partial 16S ribosomal RNA
Rfam family: Bacterial small subunit ribosomal RNA
Source: RNAcentral